GGGGCCGGCUGCGAGCGCGGGUAGAUGUGGCGGCUCCUUCGAGGUUGUCUGAUUUUAAGAGCUUGCUCAGAUAUGACGAUGGACAUUGCAAAGAGUGGCGAACGGGUGAGUAACACGUGGGAAACCUACCUCUUAGCAGGGGAUAACAUUUGGAAACAGAUGCUAAUACCGUAUAACAAUGACAACCGCAUGGUUGUUAUUUAAAAGAUGGUUCUGCUAUCACUAAGAGAUGGUCCCGCGGUGCAUUAGCUAGUUGGUAAGGUAAUGGCUUACCAAGGCGAUGAUGCAUAGCCGAGUUGAGAGACUGAUCGGCCACAAUGGGACUGAGACACGGCCCAUACUCCUACGGGAGGCAGCAGUAGGGAAUCUUCCACAAUGGGCGAAAGCCUGAUGGAGCAACGCCGCGUGUGUGAUGAAGGGUUUCGGCUCGUAAAACACUGUUGUAAGAGAAGAAUGACAUUGAGAGUAACUGUUCAAUGUGUGACGGUAUCUUACCAGAAAGGAACGGCUAAAUACGUGCCAGCAGCCGCGGUAAUACGUAUGUUCCAAGCGUUAUCCGGAUUUAUUGGGCGUAAAGCGAGCGCAGACGGUUAUUUAAGUCUGGAGUGAAAGCCCUCAGCUCAACUGAGGAAUUGCUUUGGAAACUGGAUGACUUGAGUGCAGUAAGGAAAGUGGAACUCCAUGUGUAGCGGUGAAAUGCGUAUAUAUAUGGAAGAACACCAGUGGCGAAGCGGCUUUCUGGACUGUAGCUGACGUUGAGGCUCGAAAGUGUGGGUAUCAAACAAGAUUAGAUACCCCUGGUUGGUCCACACCGUAAACGAUGAGUGCUAGGUGUUUGAGGGUUGCCGCGCUUAAGUGCCGCAGCUAACAGCAGUUGA
RNAcentral lists this ribosomal RNA (878 nucleotides) under Weissella confusa. Its description in RNAcentral is "bacterial SSU rRNA". It matches the Rfam family "Bacterial small subunit ribosomal RNA", at positions 59 to 863 of the family's 1533-position model. Lineage: Bacteria; Bacillati; Bacillota; Bacilli; Lactobacillales; Lactobacillaceae. The record is from RNAcentral.